RNAcentral lists this ribosomal RNA (253 nucleotides) under uncultured bacterium. RNAcentral describes it as "partial 16S ribosomal RNA". It matches the Rfam family "Bacterial small subunit ribosomal RNA", at positions 524 to 776 of the family's 1533-position model. The record is from RNAcentral.
UACGUAGGGUGCAAGCGUUAUCCGGAAUUACUGGGCGUAAAGAGUUCGUAGGCGGAUUUUUAAGUCGAUUGUUAAAUAUGCAGGCUCAACUUGCAUGCUGCAGUCGAUACUGGAAGUCUUGAGAGUGGAAGAGGUAAGCGGAAUUCCUGGUGGAGCGGUAAAAUGCGUAGAUAUCAGGAGGAACACCAAUGGCGAAGGCAGCUUACUGGGCCAUUUCUGACGCUGAGGAACGAAAGCGUGGGGAGCGAUCGGG